UUCGGUGGUCAUAGCGAGAGUGUAACACCCGUUCCCAUUCCGCACACGGAAGUUAAGCCUCUCAGCGCCGAUGGUACUGCCAGGGAAGCUUGGUGGGAGAGUAGGUCGCCGCCGAUU
This 117-nucleotide ribosomal RNA is filed under the name Pseudomonadota bacterium. RNAcentral also lists the same sequence under 2 other names. The record is from RNAcentral. Lineage: Bacteria; Pseudomonadati; Pseudomonadota.